This 427-nucleotide ribosomal RNA is filed under the name uncultured bacterium. Its description in RNAcentral is "partial 16S ribosomal RNA". It matches the Rfam family "Bacterial small subunit ribosomal RNA", at positions 355 to 774 of the family's 1533-position model. The record is from RNAcentral.
UGGGGAAUAUUGCACAAUGGGCGCAAGCCUGAUGCAGCCAUGCCGCGUGUAUGAAGAAGGCCUUCGGGUUGUAAAGUACUUUCAGCGAGGAGGAAGGCGUUGUGGUUAAUAACCGCAACGAUUGACGUUACUCGCAGAAGAAGCACCGGCUAACUCCGUGCCAGCAGCCGCGGUAAUACGGAGGGUGCAAGCGUUAAUCGGAAUUACUGGGCGUAAAGCGCACGCAGGUGGUCUGUCAACUCGGAUGUGAAAUCCCCGGGCUCAACCUGGGAACUGCAUCCGAAACUGGCAGGCUAGAGUCUUGUAGAGGGGGGUAGAAUUCCAGGUGUAGCGGUGAAAUGCGUAGAGAUCUGGAGGAAUACCGGUGGCGAAGGCGGCCCCCUGGACAAAGACUGACGCUCAGGUGCGAAAGCGUGGGGAGCAAACA